RNAcentral lists this ribosomal RNA (450 nucleotides) under uncultured bacterium. RNAcentral describes it as "partial 16S ribosomal RNA". It matches the Rfam family "Bacterial small subunit ribosomal RNA", at positions 354 to 796 of the family's 1533-position model. The record is from RNAcentral.
GUGGGGAAUUUUGGACAAUGGGGGCAACCCUGAUCCAGCAAUGCCGCGUGCAGGAAGAAGGCCUUCGGGUUGUAAACUGCUUUUGUACGGAACGAAACGGUCCUGGUUAAUACCUGGGGCUAAUGACGGUACCGUAAGAAUAAGCACCGGCUAACUACGUGCCAGCAGCCGCGGUAAUACGUAGGGUGCGAGCGUUAAUCGGAAUUACUGGGCGUAAAGCGUGCGCAGGCGGUGCUGUAAGACAGGCGUGAAAUCCCCGGGCUCAACCUGGGAAUUGCGCUUGUGACUGCAGUGCUGGAGUACGGCAGAGGGGGAUGGAAUUCCGCGUGUAGCAGUGAAAUGCGUAGAUAUGCGGAGGAACACCGAUGGCGAAGGCAGUCCCCUGGGCCUGUACUGACGCUCAUGCACGAAAGCGUGGGGAGCAAACAGGAUUAGAAACCCCAGUAGUCC